Non-coding RNA from Mycena vulgaris, 89 nucleotides. Lineage: Eukaryota; Fungi; Basidiomycota; Agaricomycetes; Agaricales; Mycenaceae. The record is from the annotation of a GenBank genome assembly.
GCCACCGUGGAUUAAUGGGAGAUCGCCCUCAUCAUAUGAGACUUCUUGCAUUCGAGAGGAAGAGGGGGGUUCGACUCCCGCCGGUGGCA